UGGCUACAGAACGAACGCUGGCGGCGCGCCUAACACAUGCAAGUCGAACGAGAAUCCGGGGCAACCCGGUAGUAAAGUGGCAAACGGGUGAGGAAUACAUGGGUAACCUACCCUUGAGAAGGGAAUAACCCGCCGAAAGGUGAGCUAAUACCCUAUACGCUAUCUUUUUUUCGAAAAGGAUAGGAAAGCCGGGUCGAGGACCUGGUACUCAAGGAGGGGCUCAUGUCCUAUCAGCUUGUUGGUGGGGUAACGGCCUACCAAGGCUACGACGGGUAGCUGGUCUGAGAGGAUGAUCAGCCACACUGGCACUGAGAUACGGGCCAGACUCCUACGGGAGGCAGCAGUGAGGAAUAUUGCGCAAUGGGCGAAAGCCUGACGCAGCGACGCCGCGUGGGGGAUGAAGGUUUUCGGAUUGUAAACCCCUUUCAUGAGGAAAGAUAAAGUGGGUAACCACUUAGACGGUACCUCAAGAAGAAGCCACGGCUAACUUCGUG
RNAcentral lists this ribosomal RNA (494 nucleotides) under uncultured bacterium. RNAcentral's name for it is "bacterial SSU rRNA". It matches the Rfam family "Bacterial small subunit ribosomal RNA", at positions 26 to 507 of the family's 1533-position model. The record is from RNAcentral.